RNAcentral lists this ribosomal RNA (197 nucleotides) under uncultured bacterium. Its description in RNAcentral is "partial 16S ribosomal RNA". It matches the Rfam family "Bacterial small subunit ribosomal RNA", at positions 1304 to 1500 of the family's 1533-position model. The record is from RNAcentral.
UCUGCAACUCGACUGCAUGAAGCUGGAAUCGCUAGUAAUCGCGAAUCAGCAUGUCGCGGUGAAUACGUUCCCGGGUCUUGUACACACCGCCCGUCACACCAUGGAGUCGGAAAUGCCCGAAGCCAGUGACCCAACCUUUAAGGAGGGAGCUGUCGAAGGCAGGUCUGGUAACUGGGGUGAAGUCGUAACAAGGUAUC